RNAcentral lists this ribosomal RNA (465 nucleotides) under uncultured bacterium. RNAcentral's name for it is "partial 16S ribosomal RNA". It matches the Rfam family "Bacterial small subunit ribosomal RNA", at positions 338 to 795 of the family's 1533-position model. The record is from RNAcentral.
CCUACGGGUGGCAGCAGUGGGGAAUAUUGCGCAAUGGGCGAAAGCCUGACGCAGCGACGCCGCGUGUGGGAUGAAGGUCUUCGGAUCGUAAACCUCUGUCAGCAGGGACGAACGGUCACUGUGCUAAUCAGCAGUGCAUUGACGGUACCUGCCCAGGAAGCACCGGCUAACUCCGUGCCAGCAGCCGCGGUAAUACGGAGGGUGCGAGCGUUAAUCGGAAUUACUGGGCGUAAAGCGCUCGUAGGCGGUAUGGCAAGUCAAGGGUGAAAUCCCCGCGCUCAACGUGGGAACUGCCUUUGAGACUGGAAAACUGGAGUGUGUGAGAGGAUAGUGGAAUUCCAGGUGUAGGAGUGAAAUCCGUAGAUAUCUGGAGGAACAUCAGUGGCGAAGGCGACUAUCUGGCACAUAACUGACGCUGAGGCGCGAAAGCGUGGGUAGCAAACAGGAUUAGAUACCCGAGUAGUC